GAUGAACGCUGGCGGCGUGCUUAACACAUGCCAGUCGAACGGAAAGGCCAGUGCUUGCACUGGUGCUCGAGUGGCGAACGGGUGAGUAACACGUGGGUGAUCUGCCCUGCACUUUGGGAUAAGCCUGGGAAACUGGGUCUAAUACCAGAUAGGACCAUGCUUUGGAUGGUGUGGUGGAAAGUUUUUUCGGUGUGGGAUGAGCUUGCGGCCUAUCAGCUUGUUGGUGGGGUAAUGGCCUACCAAGGCGUCGACGGGUAGCCGGCCUGAGAGGGUGUACGGCCACAUUGGGACUGAGAUACGGCCCAGACUCCUACGGGAGGCAGCAGUGGGGAAUAUUGCACAAUGGGCGCAAGCCUGAUGCAGCGACGCCGCGUGGGGGAUGACGGCCUUCGGGUUGUAAACUCCUUUCGCAACUGACGAAGCUUUUUGUGACGGUAGGUUGAGAAGAAGCACCGGCUAACUACGUG
This 467-nucleotide ribosomal RNA is filed under the name uncultured bacterium. Its description in RNAcentral is "partial 16S ribosomal RNA". It matches the Rfam family "Bacterial small subunit ribosomal RNA", at positions 28 to 507 of the family's 1533-position model. The record is from RNAcentral.